This 965-nucleotide unclassified non-coding RNA is filed under the name uncultured fungus. Its description in RNAcentral is "sequence contains 18S rRNA gene, ITS1, 5.8S rRNA gene, ITS2, 28S rRNA gene". Lineage: Eukaryota; Fungi. The record is from RNAcentral.
AGGUAUAGCCGGUUGAACCACUUCACGCCAUCGCUGUCGGGCAAAGCGCGGUCGAGCGCGGUCAUGAUGUCAACGACAUCCUCGAUCGUCUUGGCGCGGCGCCCGGCGACCAGCUCAGCGAGCAUGGCCGGACCGUCGACGGGAGGAUUUGCGAAAUGUUCGCUUCCGCCGAAUCUUUGCAGCGCCGGCCUCGGCUCCACUCGACUGUGCGGGCGCGCGUCCCGCCAGCUCGGCCAGGCGUCCGAGCAGCCGCUCCGUGGCUGCCGCCUCGGCGGCGUUUGCGCGCUGUUUGUAUUUCAGCAGCACAAACGACGCGUUAUCCAGCACCGAGGCCCACCGUUUUGGUGCGUUCACACGGCUGUAGUGAUCCUCAAAGUCGCUGACGAGCCGCCCGAUGUCUCUGGCCAGCGUCCCUGCAAAGAGUGAUGCGUACAUCUUCAGCUCGGUCUGCCCUACGACCGACCAGAAAUCGACAGGGGCGGCGUGCAUGGCCCGUUGGACGAUCGCGAGCGUGUCCCGGUCGGUCGCGCCUCGUGACAUACCUCCUUCAAGUGCCAGCUGUGCGGCGAUCCGGUUCAUCGCGGGAUAGAACAGGUUUGCCCUCCCUGUCGCGCCCGCGAUCUGCUCUGCGGCCGCGUAGUGGUCCCGCAUCUUCGCGAUGGCUGCGAGUUCUUCAUUGACGCGUCCUUCGGCUGCCCCAAUCAACGCGAGGCGCUUGUAGGCAGACCCGUAGAGGCUCUGGCGCUCGACGGUUGCCCCAACCGAGAGCAACGAGUCGAGGAGGGCCAUCGCCUCAGCAAUCUCGCGGCGAGCGCUCGCCCGGGAAGUCUUGUCGCCGGCGUUCGACUUCUCUACUUGCUGCCAGGCGCGGCGCACUUUCGCAUUCGCGAGCUGCUCGACGGCCGCCAGCGACGCUGUGCCAUCCGGCGCAAGCCGGGCACGGUCGUACCACUCGAUCGCCUUGU